CGUAAGUUGGAAUUUUAAAUUAAUUAUUUUCCUUGCGUAUAUAAGCAUUACAAUGGUCAUCGAAUUUUGCUCGUCGGCUCAACCCUAGCGCUCCGACAUCAAUGCUACUGCGCCCCAGUGAUCCCGUCGCCGGAGUCGAUCGCUGGUCGAUGCGGACGGGAACAGUUCACCUCGGCAGCGGAGGCGAUAACCACUUGUGCAUCUAGACCUGUUGUAGGCUCAUCCAUGAAUAUGAUAGAAGGACUUGAAACUAAUUCCACUGCAAUUGUUAGACGUUUGCGCUCUUCUGCUGCAAGACCAUUUAAUCCUGGUAAACCUACCAUUGCAUUCUUCAGUUUCUUAAGCUCAACCAGUUCCAUAACUUCAUCUACGAAUAUCUGAAGCAGAGGAAAAAGUACGCAAAAGAUUAGUGUACUUGAGAAAACAUAAGGAAAUCUGCUGCGUUCUUUCUAUCAGGACAUUUGAAGCCCAUCCAUUCAAAAUGUUUAAGAACAUGUUCUCUGGGUCCUUGAUAAGCAAUUUGCCCCUCACAUAAAAGGAUGAUGUCAUCAAAUAGCUCAAAUGCUUCUUGAGCAGGCUGAAGCAAAGAUAUAACCAUGGUGAAAUCCAAAGCACGUGUAAGCUGCUGCAGAAACUUGAGAAUCUGAAAGUCAUGAGAGUAACAUAAAUCUAUGCAUCAAAGUUGCUAAUGUCCUUGACCUUCACUGCUUACAAGAACAUGAUUAUAGUGUGGAGAAAUCCACUCUCAACAACAACAAAUAAAAACUAAUUGUUUUUCGAAGCUGAAAGUUGCUGCAACAAGGUACCUCUCCAUUCGUACUAUCACUUCAAUGAUGCUAUAUCCAGUAAUAUGAUGUGCUACUUAUAUCUUCAAUAUUCAAUUUAUUGGCAUUUGCCCAGCAGUGCAAGUUAGUUAUGUUUAUGAGUAUGAUAAGUUUGAAUUGAUGCAUUAUUUUCAUGAUUUCAUGUUGAAGCUAUGCUUUGUUCUUGUUGAGAUGGUAACAUACUUCAAAAAGAGUUACACUGUAGACUAUGAAUUACAGCUAAUAUAUUUGAUUGGCAUAGAACAAACACUAUAAUUGGCCAAUAGCUUAUGAAAUGUUGAGAUGGUGUUAGAAAAUGGUAAUGUAAAAAACCUUGAAACUUUUGCAAAUUGUUAUUAUUUUUUGGCAUGGAAACAUACAUCACAAAGACCUAAAUGUAUGCUAAAUGCUGAACUGAUGUUCCCAAAGGUAAGAUGUAUACCAAUAGUGACUCUUUUCUUUUGUCCUCCAGAUAUUCCCCUUCUCAUCUGAUCACCUAUUAUUAUGUUUGCACACUCAUGUAAGCCAAGUACCUGAAAGAAUAAGUCAUGAAGUCUGAAAGAUAUAAGUUAUUUUUUGCAUGGGAACACCUUAAAGCUUCUUGUGGGAAAUGGUUCCUCAUUGUUCAUGAUGGGGAUGUUAUGAAAUCUUAUAGACAAAAGUAGAAGAUGAGGUGCUUGCUGGACAAUUCUUUCGUCGAAUCCAUCAGUAAACAAAUUAUUGCAUGAAACUUGCCAGAUUCAUACUAGUCUAUCAGACAGUUGUGGGGCCCAAAAGAUCUCAUUUUCUCUCGGGUAUUGUCUAAUUCCAUCAAUCAUGGAGAUUAUUGAUCUUAAAUUGUUUAAGAUCCAGGAACCUGAACAGUGUUGAUGAUGGCAUUGGGUAGGGUGGGAAGAACUCUCCUGGAAGCAUGAACCUCAGUCUCCACUGACAAAUCCUCGAACCGCACUUCGAUCUUCGGAGCGUUGAUUCCCGACCUACAAUCAAUUAACGAAAGAGAACAACGAAUCAUCAGAACUCUAGAACUUCUGAUAUCUUCGAACCGACAAGCACUACCUUGUUCUCCAAUCUCGUAAGCUGGAGAUCAGCUCUUCAUGCUCUUCACAGGCAUACUAUUACACUACAGCAAAGGAAGACAACUCACUCGUGUGGUUGAAUUUGUAUUGAACUAGUAGCACCUCCUGUAACAGUGGGAUUAUG
Long non-coding RNA from Zingiber officinale, 2003 nucleotides. RefSeq lists it as uncharacterized. NCBI's taxonomy places the organism in Eukaryota, Viridiplantae, Streptophyta, Magnoliopsida, Zingiberales, Zingiberaceae. The record is from RefSeq and is a predicted model, not a curated record. The transcript is spliced from 8 exons.